GGAGAAGAGGGGGGAUAGAGAAGGGAAGAGGAGCACUGCUAUUCGCCGCCUACCAUUUCCCAGGUUUGCAGGGAAGGGACUGGACGUGAUCCGUUGCUGUCUCUCCUCCGUUCAGGGUUCUCCGUCUCCCGCUUCGUUCUCGCCGCAGUACUACUCGAGAUGACGUGGCUGUCAUUAUCACGAAAACCACAACCACCGCCACCUACAACACUGGAGUGCGCUGACUGGCUGACUCGCCGCCGGGGGGGUUGGCAAACACAAGGUCUGGGCAGACAGGCAGCGAGAGGGUUGUGAUCUGCCUGUCCCGAUGUCUGGCCCAAGGUGCUCUGGCCCAAGGAGCUCCGUCACAGUAAAGGCUGUAGCACUCAUCUCUCCCGGCAGUUCGUUUCCUCUAUCUCGACCCUCCCAGCUUCCUGUCCUCUAAGACAUACGGAUCCUGAAGUUUGCCUUCCAGCUGAGUUGUCUCAAGAGCUGCCACAUCUGCCAGGGACCACACGCUUUGUUGGAGGGUCGUGCUGUGCUCUGCCAGGCAUGACAUCUGAAGUAUGAAGAUCAGAAUUACAAAACCCUCUGGCUCCCUGAGGAAACUAUUUCUACCAUGAGGACCCCUACUGAAGAACUAAUUUUCAAAAUUGAUUAUUGAUAUAGUCUUCAAGGUUACUCAAUAAACAUCUUGACAGGAACA
Molecule: long non-coding RNA, 685 nt
Organism: Eriocheir sinensis (Chinese mitten crab)
Lineage: Eukaryota; Metazoa; Arthropoda; Malacostraca; Decapoda; Varunidae
Exons: 4
Source: RefSeq, a predicted model, not a curated record